CUGAGAGCCGCUUGGCCUGGGCCCUGCACCUCGUCCCACUCUGCAUGAACUGCCUUUGCGGGUGGCCAGGCCUGGCUAUGACCGCACGGGAGAGCAGGGCGGACCCCGCGAACGGGGACAGCACCUGACGGCGACAUCCACAAACGCCGCCCCGCAGGAGCACGCACUCCCACACAAAGCGCCUGCAGCUGACAGCCGCCGGGAGGGGACAUCUGGACAGCCUCACGCAGCUUUCAGACCUGCAGUCCAUGUUAAAAGGAUCUUGUUUCCAAUUUGCCUUAAUUAAACAAACAUUCCAAACC
Homo sapiens (human) is the source of this 302-nucleotide long non-coding RNA. The record is from Ensembl. NCBI's taxonomy places the organism in Eukaryota, Metazoa, Chordata, Mammalia, Primates, Hominidae.